CCUACGGGGGGCAGCAGUGAGGAAUAUUGGUCAAUGGGCGCGAGCCUGAACCAGCCAAGUAGCGUGAAGGAUGACUGUCCUAAGGGUUGUAAACUUCUUUUAUAAAGGAAUAAAGUGAGGCACGUGUGCCUUUUUGUAUGUACUUUAUGAAUAAGCAUCGGCUAACUCCGUGCCAGCAGCCGCGGUAAUACGGAGGAUCCGAGCGUUAUCCGGAUUUAUUGGGUUUUAAGGGAGCGUAGGUGGGUUGUUAAGUCAGGUGUGAAAGGUCGCGGCUCAACCGUAAAAUUGCAAUUGAUACUGGCAGUCUUGAGGAGAGUUGAGGUAGGCGGAAUUCGUGGUGUAGCGGUGAAAUGCUUAGAUAUCACGAAGAACUCCGAUUGCGAAGGCAGCUUACU
Molecule: ribosomal RNA, 395 nt
Filed under: uncultured bacterium
Lineage: Bacteria
Description: partial 16S ribosomal RNA
Rfam family: Bacterial small subunit ribosomal RNA
Source: RNAcentral